AGCCCAAAAAAAUAUUUUUUGGUAAUAUCUUUGUCAAAAGAAAGUAGAAAGGGAUUUCAAAUAUAUAUGGUCCCUCUCCUCUGAGCACGAAGCAACAGGCUUUUUGCAUAAAUGCUUCCUCUUACCUUGCAUUGCAUCAGUAGCCACAGUUCCCUUUCUGAGCUUGGAACUUUGUUGGGAACUUCAAAAAAAAAAGAGAGAAAAAGACACACACAUGCAAACAACAAAUGUUAAUUUCUAUAUGCUAUACUAUUUUUAAUAUCUAAAAAUAUUUUUUGAAUAAUGUAUAAUAUCACUAAUUUCUUCCCUGAUAAGUAGCCAUUUAGUUAAGUCUUUAAGAUUGUUACAACUCUAUAAAUUAAGAACUGUUAAUGUUACCAGUGACGAUUGUCAUUUACAAAUUAGAGCUUAAAUGAAUAGGCCCGUUUAAAAUUGAAAAAGCGUUCGCCCUAGGAAGACUCUCCCAGGCCCGCUUCCCAAGACGGCCGCUUGAAUGGAUUCUCAACGUUUCAGCUCUGCCGUCCGUUCUUACUCCCUUUGAAGAAUCUCCUCUGCUCGUCCAUGGUUUCGAUGGUAACUGCUCCUUCUCCGUCCCGAUCCAGGCCUCCUCCAGAUCCACCGCCGUCCUUUGCCGUGUUUGUUGUCAUCUUCGGAGCUUCUCCGCUGGAGCCUCCAAAGCCACCAGAUGACUCACCUCUUGCCAUAGUGCAACCCUCUACUGCAGUAUGCAGAUUUUUUACCUUUACUGCAGUAAGCAGUUCCGCUUUUGGUGUAUUCAGGGAUACAUCUCCAUUUUCAGCUCAAUUGGCGUAGAGUUCAGAGGACUUCUCUACCAUAUUAGUUGCUUAUGUGUUAUGUAUGCCUACAUCUAUCUCUGUUUUUCUAUGUGCUCAGCUUUUGUUAUAACUGUUUCUUUUGCCAGUAUGGUUUUAUUGUCAAGUAUUGUGAACAUUUCCUUUUCUAAUGGAGAAUAAAAAUCUA
Brassica napus (rape) is the source of this 981-nucleotide long non-coding RNA. RefSeq lists it as uncharacterized. NCBI's taxonomy places the organism in Eukaryota, Viridiplantae, Streptophyta, Magnoliopsida, Brassicales, Brassicaceae. The record is from RefSeq and is a predicted model, not a curated record. The transcript has 2 exons.